ACCAGAGAGACCACUGGGUCAGCUUGACCAUGAUCCAGAGAGGAGACAGUCAACGGUGGACACAUAAAGGAGCCUCCCCCUUGCGGGGCUGCAGCGAAUGUUUGUGGGAAGCACCAGGCUCAGUGCCCAGAACAGGAGCUCGGGAGCUGGUAGCUAUUACUAGUGGCCCAAGGAUGGAGCAGAUUAUCUGAAAUGGAAUCUCUCGGCUGCCCAGCCUUGUGUCUCUUGGCCCAGUAACCGUGUCCAGUCUCUCCACGGAGAGGAAAAAGACUCCCAGGCUGCAAGGAAAAUUUGCGGAUAAGUCGUGCAAGGGAAGGAGUCCUUUGUGCAGGGGGCACCCCUUGUGCAGGAGGUCCUCUUCAUUAAGGCCUUCUCUGUGGGAAUCUGGUAUAGCCUGAGCAGAGGAGGUGGCCCUACUGAGCUAAUCUGGAUUGGAUUCUUCAGAUGCUCCAGAAGAACCAUCCACUUGGGUCUAAUUAUGGAUUAGUGCCUUCAUACCUCUGUUCAGAAAUCAAACUUAUGAGACCUGAAUGCUGGCCCGUGAGACGAUGUUGGGAGCUGUGGCAGCCGACUUGCUACCCUGAGGCACCAAGAUAAGGAAAAAGGCCAACGUAGUAGAGGAUGAUAAACAGGAAAGAGAAAAGACCCAGGUUUCUUGGCAUCACUGAGCAUCUGAUCGACCCCGGAACUACCUCCCUCCCGACAUCUUUUUGCUCAUGAUUGUUUCAUGUCUCGGUUGCUUGAGCUGUUGUUGUGGACUUUCUGUUACAAAUUUCUCAACACGGUCUAACUGAGAGAAGCACCUACCGUGUGCGCGGCACACAUCUCUCAUAAGAGU
Molecule: long non-coding RNA, 838 nt
Organism: Canis lupus familiaris (dog)
Lineage: Eukaryota; Metazoa; Chordata; Mammalia; Carnivora; Canidae
Exons: 3
Source: RefSeq, a predicted model, not a curated record